GGCCGGACUCCUACGGGAGGCAGCAGUGGGGAAUAUUGCACAAUGGGGGAAACCCUGAUGCAGCGACGCCGCGUGAGUGAAGAAGUAUUUCGGUAUGUAAAGCUCUAUCAGCAGGGAAGAAGUUGACGGUACCUGAGUAAGAAGCCCCGGCUAACUACGUGCCAGCAGCCGCGGUAAUACGUAGGGGGCAAGCGUUAUCCGGAUUUACUGGGUGUAAAGGGAGCGUAGACGGCGAUGCAAGUCGGAAGUGAAAGGCGGGGGCCCAACCCCCGGACUGCUUUGGAAACUGUAUGGCUGGAGUGCAGGAGAGGUAAGUGGAAUUCCUAGUGUAGCGGUGAAAUGCGUAGAUAUUAGGAGGAACACCAGUAGCGAAGGCGGCUUACUGGACUGUAGCUGACGUUGAGGCUCGAAAGCGUGGGGAGCAAACAGGAUUAGAUCCCCGAGUA
This 446-nucleotide ribosomal RNA is filed under the name uncultured bacterium. Its description in RNAcentral is "bacterial SSU rRNA". It matches the Rfam family "Bacterial small subunit ribosomal RNA", at positions 329 to 792 of the family's 1533-position model. The record is from RNAcentral.